This 496-nucleotide ribosomal RNA is filed under the name uncultured bacterium. RNAcentral's name for it is "partial 16S ribosomal RNA". It matches the Rfam family "Bacterial small subunit ribosomal RNA", at positions 28 to 507 of the family's 1533-position model. The record is from RNAcentral.
GAUGAACGCUGGCGGCGUGCCUAAUACAUGCAAGUCGAGCGAACAGACGAGGAGCUUGCUCCUCUGACGUUAGCGGCGGACGGGUGAGUAACACGUGGAUAACCUACCUAUAAGACUGGGAUAACUUCGGGAAACCGGAGCUAAUACCGGAUAAUAUAUUGAACCGCAUGGUUCAAUAGUGAAAGACGGUUUUGCUGUCACUUAUAGAUGGAUCCGCGCCGCAUUAGCUAGUUGGUAAGGUAACGGCUUACCAAGGCAACGAUGCGUAGCCGACCUGAGAGGGUGAUCGGCCACACUGGAACUGAGACACGGCCCAGACUCCUACGGGAGGCAGCAGUAGGGAAUCUCCGCAAUGGGCGAAAGCCUGACGGAGCAACGCCGCGUGAGUGAUGAAGGUCUUCGGAUCGUAAAACUCUGUUAUUAGGGAAGAACAAAUGUGUAAGUAACUAUGCACGUCUUGACGGUACCUAAUCAGAAAGCCACGGCUAACUACGUG